This 591-nucleotide long non-coding RNA is filed under the name Macaca mulatta (Rhesus monkey). RNAcentral's name for it is "lncRNA (ENSMMUG00000056499.1)". The record is from RNAcentral. Lineage: Eukaryota; Metazoa; Chordata; Mammalia; Primates; Cercopithecidae.
GGGGCCAUAAAUCAAUGUGGUGUUGCUGGAUUUACAGAUGGAGAACUGAGGCCUGGAGAGGGAAAUUGACUUGCAAGCUAUUGAUGGAGCCAGAGAGCAAGGAAGCUCGUCCCAUACAGAAGAGAUGGGAGAUGAGGAAACUAAGUCCCUGACUUAGGGCCACACAUGGCCUGAGUGCAGGUGCUCACACAGCCAUGGAUUUGUCCAGCAGAUUCAACCCUCACCAAACACUCGCAUUUGGAUGAAAAUUGCUUCAAGCACUUUGCAAACUAACAUGCAAAGACAUCAUAUUAUACAUUGGGGGAAAAAAGUAAUAAAAUGUUCAAAUCAUUAACAUCCAUGUUUCUAUACAACUCUAGGAUAAAGUAUCAAGUUAAUCUCAUUCAUUAAAAUAGUUGCCAAAGACGUUUGUCUUUGGACCCAUCAAAUAUACUGUUUGAUGACAUCAUUCAGUAAAGACAGCUUCUCAGCUCACCCAUCUCUUGUUAUCCCAAAAUAAAUUCUGAUGUUUGUAAACUGCACAAAUUAUUAAGUGUUUUUUUAUUUGUCAGUUUCAUCUUCCAAGGAUAAUCUUAAUGCCCUUAAAAUAAU